Molecule: ribosomal RNA, 253 nt
Filed under: uncultured bacterium
Lineage: Bacteria
Description: partial 16S ribosomal RNA
Rfam family: Bacterial small subunit ribosomal RNA
Source: RNAcentral
UACGUAGGGUGCGAGCGUUGUCCGGAAUUAUUGGGCGUAAAGGGCUCGUAGGCGGUUUGUCGCGUCGGGAGUGAAAACUCAGGGCUUAACCCUGAGCCUGCUUCCGAUACGGGCAGACUAGAGGUAUGCAGGGGAGAACGGAAUUCCCGGUGUAGCGGUGAAAUGCGCAGAUAUCGGGAAGAACACCCGUGGCGAAGGCGGCUCUCUGGGACGGUACUGACGCUGAGACGCGAAAGCGUGGGGAGCGAACAGG